Panicum hallii is the source of this 3108-nucleotide long non-coding RNA. RefSeq lists it as uncharacterized. Lineage: Eukaryota; Viridiplantae; Streptophyta; Magnoliopsida; Poales; Poaceae. The transcript is spliced from 4 exons. The record is from RefSeq and is a predicted model, not a curated record.
AUACCCCCUAAAAUGGAUCGCGACUACUAAUCGCGAUCCGAUGUUUUACAUAAUACCCCCUAAUUUGGGUGGCGAUUAUGCAAAUUAGCCCCUUCUUUGAGGAGGUUCCCUCUCCCCGUCCGGCGACGCCCCCGCACCUCCUCCUCCGCGAAUGGGCAUGGUGGAGGCGAACCCCCGCCCGCCGCCACCACCAUCUGAAAGAAGAGGCGAGAUACCUAAGCUACAGAGGAACUAACUGCGGCGAGUGAGAGUGACGGGGAGCGUUGCGCGUCCAUCACAUCGGGUUCCAUUGUCGGAGGAGGCCGGGGAGAUGGUGGCAGAUCGGAGUACGGGUCCGCGGCCAGAUGUCCCGCCCAUUGCAGAUUUGGAGGGAGGAGAGGUCGGCGGUCGGGGACUCGUCCAGGAUUUUGCCGACGGCCGGGGAGGGGGAUCGUGCUGCCGGCCAUCGAAGCGCACAACAUUCUGCAGAUGGUGGCGAAUUCACGGGAACAGCCUGCCAUCAGCAUUCGAGAUAGAAGUCCAUCGAUUGCGAGGGAACAGGAGACACCACCGAAGCUGGAGCGGUUUUUGCCUUGGGAAAAAAGAAGAAGCUAUCUCCACCAGGUGAUUAAGGCAAUCAUGAUCUCGUGUUGGUAGGUAACAGUGUUGAUUUCUUACUAAAUAGCUAAAAAUAGAGGUCCAAUUCGGCACAAUGUUAAUCGAUAGUUUGUUUGCUAGGAACAAUUUGUCAGAUAUCUCAGUCAUUACUUGUCCUGAAACUAUUCAUCUUGGCAGCACCUUGCUAAUGAUCCUUCUGAAUCCAACUGCAUUAACGUGAUGAUAGCAGCAGAUAAUAUAUGACAGUACACAGUAUCAUGGAGUUACGGAAGCUUAAUGGGCUGUCAUGUUCGAGUCAUCUAGCUAGUGUCCAUCCUUGUUGGGCAUGGAAGAAAUGGAAUGCAUAUCUGGUGCUAGAAAUGCGCUUGAUUUAUAUCUCCUUAAUGGAUAAAAGGGUAUGGUGUUGUGUUGACAAGGCAAUAAUCACAGGGUUAACAGUCAAGGUGAAGCUGUCUAACACUUUUGUUGAGUAGAUAGCUCUGUCUCCUGUUCUUCCUACUAUUAUACAAAUGAACCUCACCAAAGAUAAUAACUACAGAUUGUUUUUCCUCUUGUAUCAGUGCUCACGUUAUUCCUUUGCUUUCCUAAUAUGGAACGUCUGUACUCUGGAGUAUUUGAUCGGUUGUUUUCACUACUUGAAAGUUUCUCUCCGCAGGUCUGGCAUGACAUCUUCAGCGAAUAUGUCCUGCAAUACCACCCACCGCCAGCAAAUUCGAAGCAGCAAACUGGUAGAUUCAACUCCUAAGAGCUUGAGCAAAAGCCAACGAAAAAGUUUUGAUUCCUUAUUUGUGCUGGUGGUGUGGCACUUGUGGAAGGAACGCAACUCUAGUGUGUUCAACAAUGCCAGUUCACCCCACGACAGAGGCAAGAUUUGGAGUGGUUCAUGACCAUCAACACCGUCCACCACGGCAUCACCCUGGCAAGAUUUCGCCUUCUGAGUUGCAAAUGGAGUGGUUCCUGACCAUGGCGAUAUUCUGCAGUGUUCCAUUCGACGGCACCUCGGGCAGCAUCUCCCCCACCUUCCACCUCCGUCGGUGACAAAUAAUUUAUCAGGCUCCAAAACCGUAUCCUUAUACUUCUGUCAGUGCAUGUUUUUAGAGGAAAGAAGGGGACGAAGAAAUACCAGAGCUCAACGAGGAGAUCAAAUUGAAGUAGUGGAGGAGGCGCAUGGUAGCUUUUACGGGUUGCCAUUUCAAUCUGCUUCUUUUAUGUAUUUCAAAUGCCACUCCCAUAUCAGUCUUGGUGUGAUUGAAUUUCAGUGGUGGAGUUUCAAGUUUGAACAUUGGGUGAUGCCAUUUGUGUCGCUGUUGUUCCAGAAUUCUCAGAAACGGAGGAAAAAUGGAGAAAGGAACCAAUCAUACUGUUCAUGAUGGUGAUAUAAUGAGUUAACUCAUGGUCUCUUUUACUGCAUUUGCAAGAAAUAUGCACGGCACCAAUUAACAAAAUGUCCUAGGGGUAUAUACUAAGUUUGCAGUAAUGAUAUAGUUUCAGCAAUGCUGAUGAGUUCUACGAAGCGCGCUACUUACUUUGGGGCUUCAUUCAAAUUGUACAUUGGCUUGGCUAGAAUCCAUGGUACAGAUUCACCACUGUGGUCAGUGUUGCUGGAGAAAAAUCUGAACAAUCUGCACAUUUUAGACUAAAUCAUGCCUGUCUCACUAACUUCCUGCAUGUUCACUUCUAGCUCAGGUUACCGGCAGCAGUAGGUUGGUGAUUAUCAAGUAUCAAGCGUGUCUGCAAAUGAUAGGUAUUCAGUAUUCCGUGACCGUAAAAUGUUCAGUAUUUCCCGUGCCAUUUUACUUCAACUUAAAAAAGUUUAUACAAUAGAAAUGUGUUUCUUUAAGACGGACAACCACAUUCCAAUAGAAAACAGUAAUAUGCUUCUGUAGAAUAUAUCAUGCAUCUGUUAUACUGAUUGUUUGCGAACUUCAGUUGUUUUAUUGGGAAUUGAAAAGUCAGAUUGCAGAUGAUGAUUCUGCCCAGGGCUGUUGGUUCUGCCCAGGGAUCUUUCAGGGAGGCGCAAAGAAGUAGAUUGUGGUGAUCUUGCAGUCUAAUUUUGAUUCAAGUUCGGAAGGCAUCACUGCAACUGACCAACCGUGCACUCUGUACUGUUUGUAUUGAUUCUGACAUCCAGGCCAACAUCCUUGACGACAUGGCCGUCUGCCUCAAGUUCAGGAGCUCAGGCGCAUCAAGAAAGCCGGCCAAUCGGUUUAUCCAAUCUUAUAAUAGAACACAAAGCUACGGGCGACAGAGAAUGGCGAACGCAAAAACGCCGUGCUGGAAGGCGGUGGCGGACCUCGGGAGGCUUCCGUCGUCCCCAGCAAGCUUCCCGCCGGUCUCCUCGCCGCCUCCCGCUGCUGUCCAUGGGGGAAGCCGGUGGAGACCUGGAGAAUCUCUAUGCUGUGCGGGUAACCCGGUAGGAACAGGGACGGCGGGUGGAAGCCGCCACCGGGGCUGUAGAGGGAGCAGGGGAGGUCGGGGACAAAAGAGUUGGCAAAUGGGUCCUCGAUUUGG